Molecule: ribosomal RNA, 274 nt
Filed under: uncultured bacterium
Lineage: Bacteria
Description: partial 16S ribosomal RNA
Rfam family: Bacterial small subunit ribosomal RNA
Source: RNAcentral
AUACGGAGGGUGCAAGCGUUGUUCGGAAUCACUGGGCGUAAAGGGCGCGCAGGCGGUUUGAUUAGUCAGAUGUGAAAGCCCACGGCUUAACCGUGGAAGUGCAUUUGAAACUGUCAGACUUGAGUAUCAGAGGGGAAAGUGGAAUUCCCGGUGUAGAGGUGAAAUUCGUAGAUAUCGGGAGGAAUACCGGUGGCGAAGGCGACUUUCUGGCUGAAUACUGACGCUGAGGCGCGAAAGCGUGGGGAGCAAACAGGAUUAGAAACCCCUGUAGUCC